AUGCACGCAGGUGCGAUGGGGGGACUCCGAGUGCGGUCUUCCAAAACGGAAGGCCGCUUUUCUGCACUGUAAGGAGGUGCCGGAACAAGGGGUGGGCAAGACGGCUGCCAGCCGCCGCGGUAAUAGCCGCACCCCAAGUGGUAGUCAUUGUUAUUGGGCUUAAAGUGUUCGUAGCCGGACGCGUAAGUCCGCUGUGAAAUCCAUGCGCUUAACGUAUGGACAUGCAGCGGAUACUGCGUGUCUAGGAACCGGACGGCGUUGAGGCUAUUCCCGGGGUAGGGGUGAAAUCCUAAAAUCCCGGGAGGAGCACCUGUGGCGGAAGCGCUCGACGAGUACGGAUUCGACGGUGAGGAACGAAAGCCAGUGGAGCAAAGCGGAUUAGAUACCCGCGUAGUACUGGCCGUAAACAUUGUGCAUUUGAUGUCGGACAACCUCCGAGGUUGUCCGGUGCCGAAGUGAAAACGAUAAAUGCACCGCCUGGGGAGUACGGUCGCAAGG
This 498-nucleotide ribosomal RNA is filed under the name uncultured archaeon. RNAcentral describes it as "bacterial SSU rRNA". It matches the Rfam family "Archaeal small subunit ribosomal RNA", at positions 355 to 848 of the family's 1478-position model. The record is from RNAcentral.